Molecule: long non-coding RNA, 5699 nt
Filed under: Sus scrofa (pig)
Lineage: Eukaryota; Metazoa; Chordata; Mammalia; Artiodactyla; Suidae
Description: lncRNA (ENSSSCG00000056460.1)
Source: RNAcentral
CUAGGGCCGCUCCCGUGGCAUAUGGAGGUUCCCAGGCUAGGGGUCCAAUCUGAGCUGUAUCCACCGGCCCACACCACAGCCACAGCAACACGGGAUCUGAGCCAUGUCUGCAACCUACACCACAGCUCAUGGCAAUGCCAGAUCCAUGGCAAGGCCAGGAAUCAAACCCGCCACCUCAUGGUUCCUAGUCAGAUUCAUUUGGUGUGAUGUCCUUUUUGCAGACAAUAGAGUUGUAGCCUCUCUUACUUCUGAUGUCAGCCACCUUUGUGGCUGAAGUUGUUAAGGGGCUUGCUGUAGGCUUCCUGAUGGGAAAGACUGGUGUCUGCCCACUGGUAGGUGGGGCUUUGUCUCUGGGUCAUAUUGGAGGUGGCUAUGUGCCUGGGGGGGUCUUUAAGCAGCCUGUUUACUGAUAGGUGGGGCUAGAUUUUCCCGAAAUGGCCACCUCCAGAGAAACACACACUGAUGAAUAUUCUGGAGAGCUUUGCCUCCAAUGUCUUUCCCCCACAAUGAGCCACGUUCACCCUGUUUUCCCAGGAAUCCUCCAAGAACUGCAGCCAGGUUUGACCCAGAUUCCUAUGGAGCCUUUGCUUUGCCCUGGUACCAAGUGAACAUGAAAGUCUUUGUGCACCUUUCAAGAAUGGGGUCUCCAUUUCCCCCAGUCCCAUGGAGCUCCUGCACACAAGCCCCACUGGCCUUCAAUGCCAGAUGCUCCAGAGCUCUUUCUCCCAAUGCCAGAUCCCCAGGCAUGGGAACUUGACGUGGGGCUCAGAACUUUCACUUAGGUAGGUGAGUCUCUAUGAUACAGUUACUUUCCAGUCUGGCCCUCCCACCUGGGAGGUAUGUGGUUGCUUAUAUUACAUAACCACCCCUCCUACCUCUUGAUGUGGCCUCCUCUUUGUCUUCUGGAGUAGGAUAUCUUUUUGAAAGUUUCCAGUCCAUUUUGUUGAAGGUUGUUCAGCAUUUUGUUGUAAUAUUGUUGUUUUUAUUAGAGAAACUGAGCUCCAGUCCUUCUAUUCCUCCAUCUUAAUCCUGUCUCCCUAAAGUUGAUGCCCUUCUCAAAGACAGGCUCAAAUUUUGUUUACAUAUUUCAUCCCUUAUAGAUGAGCUAUGUUAUUCUGUUUCCAUAUACAUAAGUAUUAUUUUAUCAAAAUUUAUAAUCUGCUUUACAGUCAUCAUUCUCAUAACUAGUCAGUAUUGACUUUAUAUUUAACAUGGCUUCUCCAUUCCUGAGUUCCUUAUUUUUUUAUUUAUUUUUUUGCCUGUCAUUUUUAGGGAUGCACCCAUGGCAUAUGGAGGUUCCCAGGCUAGGGGUCCAAUCGGAGCGAGCGACAGUCACUGGUUUAUGCCACAGCCACAGCAACGCCAGAUCUGAGCCAUGUCUGCAACCUACACCACAGCCCACAGCAAUGCUGGAUUCUCUCUCCUAACGGCAAUCUUUCUUAAAUUUGUUCAUGAUUAUGAAAGCUGUCAGUGGCCCUAAAUAUUCAACCAUAUUUAGGCAUAAUUUCUUCUUUAGAUAUUGUAGCAACCACUCCAUUAUCUUUUGCUAUUGAAUAUUGCUGUGGAAAAACACGAGGAGAGGAUUUUUGUCCCCUCUUCUCUGUAAAUCGAUGGUUCCUAAAGUAUGGUCCCUGGAUCAGCAGCAUUAACAUCACUUGGGAAUUUGUUAAAAUGAAAAAUUUAAUUUCCCAUUUUAUAUCUACUGAAUUAGGAACUUGGGGGUAUAGAAUCCAGUCAUCUGUUUUAACAAACCAUCCAGGUGCUUCUAGUGCAUGCUAAAGUUCAAGAACUGAUUAAAUAUUUACUUUUUCUGCCUGAAUACUUGAAAGAUUUCUUACAUUGAAAUUUAAUAAACUUGGAGUUCCCAUCAUGGCACAGUGGAAACAAAUCCAACUAGGAACCGUGAGUUUGUGGGUUCGAUCCCUGGCCUUGCUCAGGGGGUUAAGGAUCCGGCAUUGCUAUGAGCUGUGGUGGAGGUCACAGAUGCAGCUUGGAUCUCUAGUUGCUGUGGCUGUGGUAUAGGCCAGAGGCUACAGCUCUGAUUAAACCCCUAGCCUGGGAACCUCCAUAUGCUGUGGGUGUGACAAAAAAAAAAAAAAAAAAAAAAGAAAAGAAAUUUAAUAACCUAAUCCAAGAUAUCUUGGAUAGUUUUUAAUUUAUGCCUGUUGUCUUAGCGUACUUAUUAAUAGUGUCCCAUUUUACUCUCCCAGCAUACUCCUAGCAUAAUUAUUAUUCACGCCCUUUUUAUUCUCAAGACUGUCCUAGUUUGAAUGAUAGCUUAGACCCUAUUUAUGACCAGUGAGUCCAGUGAUUUGCAAAAUACCUAUGACUAAUAAAAAUGCUACAUGGACUCUGAAAGCCCUAAUAGCAGAUUCAGAGUAGAGGCCCAUAGGAUUUUGAAAAAAUUCAUGCAAAUAUUUCAAAAAUAUUUUUCAGAAUUAUUUAUGAAAAAUAACUAUCACUAUUUUGAGAGAUAGCUCUUGGCCUGCUUUUGGGCUGUGGUCAAGAUUUUAACACUCCAUCAACUAGAACACCAGGUGACCCAAGUGAAUUGGGUGUCUGAUAUACCAAGCCAUAGUGUCAGGCAUGCCUCGCAAUACUCCUACAUCAUGUGAUAUAUUGGGCACUGGGCUUGAGCAAGUAUAAAUUGGAUGAGCAGGUGGCUCUCACUCUUGGUGUGCUUUUCCCAUUGCAUUGCCAUCCUGCUCUUUCUAUACUUAAGCCACAUGGAGGGCUCUCUAUGGCCAGCUGACUGAAGAAAAAAAAGCCUAAGCCUAGUUUAUAAAUGACUCCAUGACAGCUGGAGAUGACUUCUGAAAUGCAGCAGCCCCACCAAGGAGUGGCCCUUCAGUAAAAGAAUAGAAAAUUCCAUCCAGUAGGCAGAAUUUUAAACAGAACAUCUCAUUGCUUGUUUUGCCCACAAGAGUUGUGGACUAGCUCUAUAAUUAGGCAUAGACAGGGGCUUAGAAUUUGGCAGGACAGUUGGGGACAUGAAAGGAAUGAGAUAGAAAGACUGGUAACAAAAUGGGCCGGAGAAAGAGGUAUAUGAAGGGAUCUCUCAAUGAACUCAGAGUGUGAGACUAUCUGUGUCCUAUGUAAAUGCUCACCAAAGUGCCUUUACUCGAGAAAAAUUUUUCUUUACCCAGGUAAGCAUGAAGACCUUCCUGAUUUCAGUGCUAGAGACCCUAUUAUCAAUUAUUCAGUGCCAAAUAUUCCCGUGGGUCAAACCAUUAUUACCCACACCAGCCCUUCUACCUCAUAAAAUAUCCAGCCCAAGUUAUUUAGGGUAAUGUGGCGCUGCUUAUCUGCCACCCCAAGCUGUCAUUAUCCUAAUUGAAAUCAUAGCGUCUAUUUCAAUAUCAGUAUUUUCCACUUUCCUCUCUGAUCUGCAGAAGACAGCCACUGUGGUGCUUUUCAAGUAUGUUGGUAAUACCUUCAUUAAUGCAUUUCUCAAUAUCCUUCUGACAGCCAUGUCCUUGGGGCUUGGAUGACUGAGAGGGUAAGACAGAACAAAUCCACUCUGGCAUUCUCAUCUCCCUAAAUCUUUCCAUUACUUCCUCCAUGAGGAAUUUCUGGCAUCUCAACUCAGCAUAGGCCGGAAGUGAAUCCAAUUUUCAGUCUACAAAAAGAUAAAAUAAUUAGAACUCUACCAACUGCAUGUGAUAGCACACUGAAUGCAGAAUCUCUGGUAAGUGAACCUACAUAAUAAUUUAAACCCUACUGAAAUUCUUUUCCUCCAUCUCUGGUGUAGUACCCUCAUAAUUCAGUUACAUGUCUAUUCCUUCAGAUUUUUGUUGAUAAACAUUAAUGAUCCUGAAUUUCACUGAGUAAUUGGCCCCACAGGCAUUUUAGGAUCUGCCUCUAGUUGUAGAGGUGUAGGCAUUGAGGAAAGUUGGGUAGGGCAUGAGGAAAAUUAGCACUCACUUGCUGGUAAUCAUUCAAGUAUGAUCAUUACAUGGUCUUCAAGCAAGGCAGGCACCAUCAAUCAGGGGCCAAGGAGCUGCUUCCACUGGCAAUGGAGGCUUGGUGGCAUUUUCAGUUAACAGAUUUCUGGAGUCAUCUGAAUUCUUCUAGGAUGACCAUUCCAAUUCCUGGGUCCCCCACAUUCCUAAUAUCCUGUCCCCUUACCUUUCUCACUUUUCCCUGAUGUUUGUCCUCUUGUCAGUUUUUGACUCUUUCUGAAGCUCUCUUUAUCUCAUUUUUCAAGCUGUGUGUCCUCAUAUUUCAACUUUUCGCUCUGUAUUUGCUCAUCUAUACCUGAGCUGACCACCUUCUUUUUAAGAAUUCUAAUCUGUAACUUUCGCUUACACAAAAGUUGACAUACUGUCACCACCCCUGCCCCCCAACAACUUACACACCCUUCUUUGAGUGUCUUACCUCAUCUGACUCUGAACCUUUAUCUUAAUUCUAAAUUCUUAAGAGACUCUGAUGAGCCCUCUUUGGGCCAAUGUCUGCCCUUAAUCCAAUCUCCAAGGAUGGCAGAGCCACUUAAUACCUAGGGCUUCCCCUCUUCUGGGUUGUGGUUGCUGAGAUUCUCUAAGAGAAAGGUUUGGGCAGAGAGGAUCCUAUAGAGAAUAUAAAAGAAGAUAUGAUCCUUGUCUUUAGGUAUUUGAUGCCGUGGGCCCAGAGCCUGCUGUUCCUCCUUUUUAGAAUUCUAGCUCCUUUUGAGUUUCUAUAAUUGUAUAUUACAGAGAGUAUAGACGAAGGUAGCCCAGCACAAAUUUACAAUAAUAAAGUUCUAACUUACUGAGAAUAUAAACUUCCUUUCCUACAUAUUAAAACUUAAUAUAGUAGAUUGUAGUAUUUGUGGAGUACCUACUAGAGCCCCAAUGAUUUGCACAUUUUUUUUUAUUCUCUGAGAAACUCUAUUAACAGUUAUUAUCACCCUUUAUCCAUGUCUCAGAGAGGUUAAGAAACCUUGCAAAAGGACCACAGUAGUAAAUAGAGUAGCAAUUCAAACUAGAGGUUGCUACUCCAGAUGCUAUGUUUUUUCUAUUAAUAAUAAAAAGCUGUCUGCCUUACCAGAGCCAUAAGAAACUUACCUUUAGUUAGAAUUAAAUAUACCUCUUCUAGAAGUCCUCAUGUCUCAGAAGGCACCAGAGCAAUACAGAAAACAGACAUGUUAAAGGUGAACUGUGUUGGCAUUGUUUGUUAUGGCGCAGCCUGGGAAGAAGGCCACAUGCCUCUACUCAAGCUACAUGUUGCAGCACAGUGUAUAUGCCAACAUAGAGGACUCAUUAUUUCUCAGGGACCACACAAGACCCUAUAACACUGCCCCUCCGCCGUGCCAAACAUUAACCUCACCCUUAUGAAGGCCUCUGCUAUAGUCUGCCAAAGAAAGACAAGGUCAAGAAAACAAAAAUCACACUGUGCUGGGGUCUUUAGAGAGUGAACUCACAGGAAUCCCUAGGUUUCUUUUUGUUUCUCAUAUAUCUCAGGUGCUGGAGAAGCAUAGAAACUGGAACCACCAACGUGUGCAGCCAAAAAGAACCUCUUUAAUGGCUGUUCCCCUAGCCAGGGAACCAGAAAAAGAAUAGGUUAGCAGAAAGAAUACCUGGUUUACAAUGCCAAUCCUACUCUAGCCAAAUACCAAUGGAAAACUCUCUCCUCAGUUAUAGUAUCUGUGGGACUGAGCAGGGAGUUGAACUUUCAUCACACAACCAGUUGAUAGCAUUCUAAUUCCCCCACCAGAGUAGUGU